ACGCGAGCUGGGUUCAGAACGUCGUGAGACAGUUCGGUCCCUAUCCGUCGCAGGCGUAGGAAAUUUGAGAAGACCUGGCCUUAGUACGAGAGGACCGGGAUGGACGUACCUCUGGUGUACCAGUUGUUCUGCCAAGGGCAUGGCUGGGUAGCUAUGUACGGAAUGGAUAAGCGCUGAAAGCAUCUAAGCGCGAAGCCAACUUCAA
This 205-nucleotide ribosomal RNA is filed under the name Clostridioides difficile. RNAcentral's name for it is "partial 23S ribosomal RNA". It matches the Rfam family "Bacterial large subunit ribosomal RNA", at positions 2598 to 2802 of the family's 2925-position model. Lineage: Bacteria; Bacillati; Bacillota; Clostridia; Peptostreptococcales; Peptostreptococcaceae. The record is from RNAcentral.